Molecule: ribosomal RNA, 269 nt
Filed under: uncultured prokaryote
Description: partial 16S ribosomal RNA
Rfam family: Bacterial small subunit ribosomal RNA
Source: RNAcentral
CACGUAAGGGGCGAGCGUUGUUCGGAUUUAUUGGGCGUAAAGGGCGUGUAGGCGGUGAGAUAAGUUUGGUGUGAAAGACCCCGGCUCAACCGGGGGGACGCGCUGAAAACUGUCUUACUAGAGUAGUGGAGGGGGAACUGGAAUUCCUGGUGUAGGGGUGAAAUCUGUAGAGAUCAGGAAGAACACCGGAGGCGAAGGCGAGUUCCUGGCCAUUUACUGACGCUGAGGCGCGAAAGCGUGGGGAGCGAACAGGAUUAGAUACCCGCGUA